RNAcentral lists this non-coding RNA (26 nucleotides) under Mus musculus (house mouse). The record is from RNAcentral. Lineage: Eukaryota; Metazoa; Chordata; Mammalia; Rodentia; Muridae.
UCCUUGCUGUGGAAGGUGAACUUCUG